CUCCUGGGAAACGGGUGGUAAUGCCGGAUGCUCCAGUUGAUCGCAUGGUCUUCUGGGAAAGCUUUCGCGGUAUGGGAUGGGGUCGCGUCCUAUCAGCUUGACGGCGGGGUAACGGCCCACCGUGGCUUCGACGGGUAGCCGGCCUGAGAGGGCGACCGGCCACAUUGGGACUGAGAUACGGCCCAGACUCCUACGGGAGGCAGCAGUGGGGAAUAUUGCACAAUGGGCGCAAGCCUGAUGCAGCGACGCCGCGUGAGGGAUGGAGGCCUUCGGGUUGUAAACCUCUUUUAUCGGGGAGCAAGCGAGAGUGAGUUUACCCGUUGAAUAAGCACCGGCUAACUACGUGCCAGCAGCCGCGGUAAUACGUAGGGUGCAAGCGUUAUCCGGAAUUAUUGGGCGUAAAGGGCUCGUAGGCGGUUCGUCGCGUCCGGUGUGAAAGUCCAUCGCUUAACGGUGGAUCCGCGCCGGGUACGGGCGGGCUUGAGUGCGGUAGGGGAGACUGGAAUUCCCGGUGUAACGGUGGAAUGUGUA
Molecule: ribosomal RNA, 531 nt
Filed under: Bifidobacterium longum subsp. suillum
Lineage: Bacteria; Bacillati; Actinomycetota; Actinomycetes; Bifidobacteriales; Bifidobacteriaceae
Description: bacterial SSU rRNA
Rfam family: Bacterial small subunit ribosomal RNA
Source: RNAcentral